CUCCAACCGGCUGACGAACUACGCAUGCACCUGGUCUCCCCGAGACGAACCGAGCAUGCGUCACCCUGUUUGGAGUUCGGUGGGUGCUUGAGAGUGGGACGGACGGAGAGAAAACGCUGAAAGAUGUCAUAUUACUCCAGAAGUUCCAGAGCUUCAGACUGCAAAGUCUAUGUCGGUGAUUUGGGAACAGGAGCUGCCAAAGGAGAGCUGGAGCGAGCUUUCAGCUACUAUGGCCCUCUAAGGAAUGUUUGGGUAGCACGGAAUCCUCCAGGCUUUGCUUUUGUGGAGUUUGAAGACCCCAGAGAUGCAGAAGAUGCUGUGCGUGGGAUGGAUGGCAAGGUUUUGUGUGGAUCAAGGGUGCGCGUUGAGCUGUCAAAUGGGAUGUCACGCAAGUCACGCUAUGGCCGCCCUCCUGCUCGUCGCCAGUUUGACCCUAAUGACCGUUGCUAUCAGUGUGGAGAGCGUGGCCACUAUGCCUAUGACUGCUACCGUUACAGCAAAAGAAGGCGUGGCAGCAGUCGAUCUCGAUCUAGGUCUCGUUCCCGUUCGAGAUCCAGAUCAAGGGGGCGUCGUUACACGAGAUCCCGAAGUCGCAGCCGCGAUCGCCGCACACGUUCCCGUUCUCCUUCGUAUUCUAAGAGGAGAAGUCGGUCCCUCACUCCAAUAAGGUCCAAAUCCAGAUCGCCAAUUGGAAGAAGGCUAUUACCUGCUUGAAGCCUGAUGAACGCCCCUUCAAGGUCACGGUCUAGAUCAAGGUCUUUUUCUAUUAAACGCGAAAGUCGUUCCCCUUCAGAAAGUUCUCGUAAGACCCCAAGUCCUGGAAGAGAUGACUGAAAUGCAAAGACUUUGAGAAGAUUGCAGCAAAGGGGCCCUCGUCACCUGACCACCUUUUAACUAACCUAGAUGUUUUAGUGCCUUUUUACGUGCAUGCAUUCCACAGAAAAGUGUUACUACUGUUCACUUAGCACGAGUAAAUGUUCUUAAUUGAAUGUUGUGAAACAAUUGUACAGCUUGUUCAAUGGACCUUCUUCAUUAGCUGGCAAGGGUUCAGUUAAAGUGCUGCAUUUCUUUGUAUUAAAUUUUACACAUUUAUCAAGUACGGAGAUUCUGCUUCAGUGAAUUUGUCGCAGUGUGCCAGGUAAUGUCAUGAAAAUUAAAUAAUUGAGAAUUUCUAAAAGUU
This is an RNA transcript of Stegostoma tigrinum, 1180 nucleotides long. It is a transcript of the gene named serine and arginine rich splicing factor 7a, with no coding region annotated. The transcript has 9 exons. The record is from RefSeq and is a predicted model, not a curated record. NCBI's taxonomy places the organism in Eukaryota, Metazoa, Chordata, Chondrichthyes, Orectolobiformes, Stegostomatidae.